CCUGUAUGAGCUCAAGUGAGUGACCACAGGGCCACAUCGAAGCAGGGAGAGGCUGCAGGGCCCCUGUGAGCUUGAGGAACCCUUAGGACCCUCCUGCAGGAGUCCAGGGGGAGCUGGUGUGGGAUGACCUCAGCUGGGCCACUGACUUGGCUGGCACCUGUGGGGACAGGCGUCUUGAGCCAGGAGGGGGAGGGAGGGAGCCCCUGAAGGCAGGCCCAGGCAGAGUCGGUCUCCCAGUGGCCAGGCUGCCUGAAAUCUGUGCUUGUGGGCUGGCACCCCAGAGCCACCCUGCUCGCCCGCCCAUUAAGCCUCUGCUCGCCAGCAGAGGGAGUCGUUUCAUUGCUGGGAAUCUGAAGAGUCAGGUGGGAAUUUGGCUGUGCGCAGGCAGGCUCUGGGGUGCGCUGCAGGGCUGUGUCAGCAUGAAGAUCGCUGUCCUCCCGUGCUUAGCCCCCCGGGCACCCCCAGGGAGGGAAACCGAAUCACAGAUGGAGCUUCCUUUGCAUCCCGCCCCCUCCUCCUUUUACCGAUGGGGAAAUGGAGGCUUCUGGCGAUGCAGUGCCGCGUCCAGGCUCUGGGUGAGCUUGGACUUGCCUGCUCUAGGCCCAGUCCUCUGUCCUCCCCCCUCCCCCUCCCUUCAUGUGGAGGGCUCGGGGCCAGCAUUUGUUUGGCCACAGCGGCUGCUGGGGCCUGCGCCCUCCUAGCAGUCAAUGACCACUCGCAGUCACUCCGGCAGAGAAAAUACCCCAAAGCUUGGAUAGGCUCAGCGUGAUUUGAUUCUGCCCAUCCUGUACAUUCCUUUAGCCUGGAGUCCCGCUUAGAGCCCUUAGCGGAGUGGGGCUGGGGGCGAGGGGAGAACCAAGACUUGCGGACAUGUGUCUCAGGAUUCUCAUUGGGCCAGGUACUGGGAUGUGGCUUGGCAGCAGCCACGCAGGACCGGGUGUAUCGGGUGUAUUGGCCUGUGGUGGCCAUGGAGGACCGGGUGUAUUGGCCAGUGGUGGUCCCAUACUUGUGUAUUGGCCUUCUGUCAUGCAGGUAUGCAGGUGCUGUCCUGUCCUACCCUGCCACGAGCUCCUAGUAUCCUGUCCCAAGCCCAGAACUGACUCCCUCUGCCUCUGUGAAGGUCAAUCCUUAUGGUUAUUCUCAUCCAUCUUGCUACUUGCAGCUUUCCUUUGGCGUCCCAGUGUUCCCACUUAUGGCCAUGGUUCAUGGCCAUUUUCACCACCUUCUCUCCUUCCUUUUCAAGACUUGUUCGUUGUGGCCCCUUAUAGCCAGCCUCCGCCAGGGACAAGGGUCUGUAAAGGAGAGGGGAACAGGAAGAAGCUGGGUCCACUCUUCCAACCCCUCUCCUUCCCCCCAAACUAG
Molecule: long non-coding RNA, 1362 nt
Filed under: Monodelphis domestica (gray short-tailed opossum)
Lineage: Eukaryota; Metazoa; Chordata; Mammalia; Didelphimorphia; Didelphidae
Description: lncRNA (ENSMODG00000042462.1)
Source: RNAcentral